AAUUCGACUCAACACGGGAAAACUUACCAGGUCCGGACACAGGAAGGAUUGACAGAUUGAUAGCUCUUUCUUAAUUUCUGUGGGUGGUGGUGCAUGGCCGUUCUUAGUUCGUGGAACUGAUCUGUCAGCUUAAUUGCGUUAACGAACGAGACCUUUAAUUAUUAAUUAGUUAAAUAUAUAGUAAAAUAUAUAAUUUAAAAGAAGGAAAUAUUAUUUUCUUUCUUUUCAUUGACUUCUUAAAAUAACAAUUGGUGAUUAACCAAAGUAAGUUAAAGGCAAUAACAGGUCUGUGAUGCCCUUUAGAUGUUCUGGGCUGCACGCGCGUUACACUGAAAAUAUCAAUAAGUUUUUAUAUAAACAAAUGAUAUCUUUUUUUGAUUUGAUUUGUUUAUGUCCUUGAUUGAAAAAUUUGGGUAACUUGAUAACUAUUUCGUGAUGGGGAUUGAUAAUUGUAAUUAUUUAUCAUGAACGAGGAAUACCUAGUAAACGUCAAGUCAUUAACUUGCAUUGAUUACGUCCCUGCCCUUGUACACACCG
Molecule: ribosomal RNA, 537 nt
Filed under: uncultured eukaryote
Lineage: Eukaryota
Description: bacterial SSU rRNA
Rfam family: Eukaryotic small subunit ribosomal RNA
Source: RNAcentral